Molecule: unclassified non-coding RNA, 285 nt
Filed under: uncultured fungus
Lineage: Eukaryota; Fungi
Description: partial contains small subunit ribosomal RNA, internal transcribed spacer 1, and 5.8S ribosomal RNA
Rfam family: Eukaryotic small subunit ribosomal RNA (bases 1-73)
Source: RNAcentral
ACAAACUUGGUCAUUUAGAGGAAGUAAAAGUCGUAACAAGGUUUCCGUAGGUGAACCUGCGGAAGGAUCAUUACUGAGUUAGGGUCUUAUUUGGCCCAACCUCCAAACCUUUGAGUACCUUGCAAAGCAUUGAUUUUUCCUUGUUGCUUCGGUGGGUUGAAAACACCCACCGAACCACAGGAACAACAAACUCUUUUGAAAGGUGCAGUCUGAAGUUUAGAUACUAAAUAAAUUAAAACUUUCAACAACGGAUCUCUUGGUUCCCGCAUCGAUGAAGAACGCAGC